UUAAACCAAUUUGUUUUUUAUUAGUUCUCGGUGAAACAUAUAAAUAAAAGGGUCGAAAAUGAUUUUUCAAAGGCAACAACGCAUUCCUAUGUCCGGAAAAUUGGUUAAUCAGGUGUUCUAAAUUAGGAAAGCCUCUAGAGGCGUAAGCGUUGCUGCUCUGAAAGAAUUCCAUUUGAUUAUACAAAUCCAAGAGAACUUGCUGGUAGUAAACGUCUCUUUUUACAGUUCUAAGGUUUUUCAACCCACUUUUGCAUCAGCAGAUUGAGUAGCUUCACACACUGCCUGCAUGCAUUCAUGCCUCUCAGAUUCCUUCUCAAAGUUCGCUGAAUUUAGAAGUGCAGUGGUUGCAGCAAGCUCAACAUGAUCACUAGGUUCAUCUUUUCUAAUCCCAUGAACAAUUGCAGUCAGGAUGUCAUUUGAUUGUGAAUUAAGAACAUUUGGUUCCUAUAAUAAAAUAUCAAGAUACAUUUGA
Parasteatoda tepidariorum (common house spider) is the source of this 472-nucleotide non-coding RNA. The record is from RefSeq and is a predicted model, not a curated record. Lineage: Eukaryota; Metazoa; Arthropoda; Arachnida; Araneae; Theridiidae.